Molecule: ribosomal RNA, 252 nt
Filed under: uncultured bacterium
Lineage: Bacteria
Description: partial small subunit ribosomal RNA
Rfam family: Bacterial small subunit ribosomal RNA
Source: RNAcentral
AGGACGAACGCUGGCGGCGUGCUUAACACAUGCAAGUCAAGGGGGCCUAGCAAUAGGCAACCGGCGAACGGGUGCGUAACACGUGAGCAACCUGCCGAUUUGUGGGGGAUAGCCGGCCCAACGGCCGGGUAAUACCGCAUACGAUCUUUUGGGGGAGUCCCUGGGAGAUGAAACUUUCGAGGCAGAUCGAGGGGCUCGCGGCCUAUCAGCUAGUUGGCGGGGUAAUGGCCCACCAAGGCAUCGACGGGUAGC